RNAcentral lists this ribosomal RNA (468 nucleotides) under uncultured bacterium. RNAcentral's name for it is "partial 16S ribosomal RNA". It matches the Rfam family "Bacterial small subunit ribosomal RNA", at positions 28 to 507 of the family's 1533-position model. The record is from RNAcentral.
GACGAACGCUGGCGGCGUGCUUAACACAUGCAAGUCGAACGGAACGUCCCUGCUUUGUUGCGGUGCUCUAGUUGCGAACGGGUGACUAACACUUGAGUUACCUGCCCCUCACCUUGGGAUAACUUCAUGCAACUGGGGCUAAUACCGCAUAAGAGCUCCUGCUGCUUGGUGGGGGUUGGAAGGUUUCGGCGGUUGGUGAUGGACUCGCGGCCUAUCAGCUUGAUGGUGGGGUAGUGGCUUACCAAGGCUUUGACGGGUAGCCGGCCUGGGAGGGUCACCGGACACAUUGGGACUGAGAUACGGCACAGCCUAGUACGGGAGGCAGGAGUGGAGAGUGGAGCACAAUGGGAGGAGCGAUGAUCUGAUCAAGCAGCGUGGCGGAUGACGGGCUUCGGGUUGUGAUCCGCUUUCGUCUGUGCCGAAGCGUGAGUGACAGUACCGGGUGAAGAAGCUCCGGCUAACUACGUG